AUAAACUAUCCAAUCUUGCAAAUUUUAAAUUUUAUUAUCUAAUCUUUCAAUUUAUUUGAUUUGGGUCAGUCUACGGUAUUUUAAUUUUAUUAUUCAAUUUUUUAAUUAUAGCUUGCUAUUGAUUCAUUUAUUUUUUCUAAAUAAAUUUAGCUAGAAAUAUAAAGUAAUUAGAUUUUGCACUUCAAGUAACAAUCACUAAACUUUUUUUUUUUUUUUGCAUUG
RNAcentral lists this long non-coding RNA (222 nucleotides) under Ananas comosus (pineapple). RNAcentral's name for it is "long non-coding RNA (ACOM_LNC022906)". Lineage: Eukaryota; Viridiplantae; Streptophyta; Magnoliopsida; Poales; Bromeliaceae. The record is from RNAcentral.